Molecule: ribosomal RNA, 402 nt
Filed under: uncultured Sphingomonas sp.
Lineage: Bacteria; Pseudomonadati; Pseudomonadota; Alphaproteobacteria; Sphingomonadales; Sphingomonadaceae
Also listed under: 1 other name
Description: bacterial SSU rRNA
Rfam family: Bacterial small subunit ribosomal RNA
Source: RNAcentral
UGGGGAAUAUUGGACAAUGGGCGAAAGCCUGAUCCAGCAAUGCCGCGUGAGUGAUGAAGGCCUUAGGGUUGUAAAGCUCUUUUACCCGGGAAGAUAAUGACUGUACCGGGAGAAUAAGCCCCGGCUAACUCCGUGCCAGCAGCCGCGGUAAUACGGAGGGGGCUAGCGUUGUUCGGAAUUACUGGGCGUAAAGCGCACGUAGGCGGCUUUGUAAGUUAGAGGUGAAAGCCUGGUGCUCAACACCAGAACUGCCUUUAAGACUGCAUCGCUUGAAUCAUGGAGAGGCGGGUGGAAUUCCGAGUGUAGAGGUGAAAUUCGUAGAUAUUCGGAAGAACACCAGUGGCGAAGGCGGCCCGCUGGACAUGUAUUGACGCUGAGGUGCGAAAGCGUGGGGAGCAAACA